UUUUAAAAGUUUCAUCCAUUUGUACGGUUAAAAAUUGAUGUGAUUGACAAAAUAACCAGAUAGUAAUACAUGAUGUGCCACGUGUACCUCAUGUUGACGUAUAAGGAACAAUUUUUAAUAGUAGAAAUAGAUUAAAUUUUAAACA
Molecule: non-coding RNA, 145 nt
Organism: Gossypium raimondii (Peruvian cotton)
Lineage: Eukaryota; Viridiplantae; Streptophyta; Magnoliopsida; Malvales; Malvaceae
Source: Rfam